AACGAACGCUGGCGGCAGGCUUAACACAUGCAAGUCGAGCGAGACCUUCGGGUCUAGCGGCGGACGGGUGAGUAACGCGUGGGAACGUGCCCUUCUCUACGGAAUAGCCCCGGGAAACUGGGAGUAAUACCGUAUACGCUCCUCGGGGGAAAGAUUCAUCGGAGAAGGAUCGGCCCGCGUUGGAUUAGGUAGUUGGUGGGGUAAUGGCCCACCAAGCCGACGAUCCAUAGCUGGUUUGAGAGGAUGAUCAGCCACACUGGGACUGAGACACGGCCCAGACUCCUACGGGAGGCAGCAGUGGGGAAUCUUAGACAAUGGGGGCAACCCUGAUCUAGCCAGGCCGCGUGAGUGAUGAAGGCCUUAGGGUUGUAAAGCUCUUUCAGCUGGGAAGAUAAUGACGGUACCAGCAGAAGAAGCCCCGGCUAACUCCGUG
This 433-nucleotide ribosomal RNA is filed under the name uncultured bacterium. Its description in RNAcentral is "partial 16S ribosomal RNA". It matches the Rfam family "Bacterial small subunit ribosomal RNA", at positions 29 to 507 of the family's 1533-position model. The record is from RNAcentral.